Molecule: long non-coding RNA, 1346 nt
Filed under: Nicotiana tabacum (common tobacco)
Lineage: Eukaryota; Viridiplantae; Streptophyta; Magnoliopsida; Solanales; Solanaceae
Description: long non-coding RNA (NTAB_LNC008815)
Source: RNAcentral
UUCCAAGGAUGGAGAAACAUUCCAAGCUUAUAUAUUAGUUCAUCAGCAAGGAAUUAGAAGGUUUUCUAUUUCUUCAUCUUCUUCAAGUUUUUUAAAGAUUUUUUCCCCUAACUUUUGCUUAUUUUUUUCAUGUACUACUAAAUUUAAGAAAAACGAUUUAUAAUUUGGAUUUGUUGUGUCAAAUUUUUGGAUUAUUUUGUUCAUGCUUGUAUUAGUCCAAUUGGAUACAGAUUAGCCAAGAGCAAGCAGGUGAUCAACAUACUUGCUUGAGGACCAUAGGAGGUAGAUUAUUGUUGUGGUUCUUAAGGUUUGUUCUUAUACAAUAAUCCAUGAAUAUUGCGGUUUUUUUUUUUUUUUGGGCUUAUGGAGCAUUGCAGGUAAGAACCAAGAGAGAGAGAGAGAUUUUGUAGUUUAGCAUAAAAUAUUUUUUAGGUGAUCUAAUAAUGUAUUGGGCACGUUUCUUGUUGCUCUUAUGGAAGUUGUUGUAAGUUUGCCUCUUUUUUUUUUGUCAAAGCUGUAAUUCCUUGCUCCUAUGCAUUGUAAGUAUUUUUUUUAUUGAGUUAUUUUGUUACCACAACACUAUUUUGGUUUCUCUGUUCACUUUAGCCCUUUUUGAGUUGGCGUCACCUUCACAAGUUUAAUCAAAGAAGAAUCUCACUACAGAUCUAGAUGGAAAGAGAAACAUAGAAGGUGAAAUAUGUCAAGUUAUCAUCUGUACUCCUUAGAUAGUCAUAGUUACUUCUCUUUGGAUCUUAGUUAUAGAAUAAGAAUUAUUUUAAGAGAACCACAUUGAGCUUCAAUUGACACAUAUCCUUGUAAAGAACUUUUUAUGCAGUUUGUUAUGGAUUCUCUUGAAACUGAGUCUGCAGAUGGUAUUGAAAGUUCAAGAUAGGUAAUUGCACUUUUUCCUUUGAGUUCCUGAAUAUGCUAAACCGAUAUUAGAUUUUUAUAAUAUGUGGAUUUCUAUAAUAUAUAAUAUUUCAUUCCUCUAUUGUGCUCACACACAGAGAGGCAAAGAGGAACAUAGGAGAGGAGAUGUCUCGAAUACUAACAUGUAGUCCAUUAUCUAUCAUUUAGGUAAUUCCCUCUAAUUCAAGGCUAGUGGUUUAGGAAUUAGGAUAUCGAUUUUCGUAGUAUGAUCAAAUUAUGGAGAAUCUUUGCUCUCUGCUACGUGUAUUUAUGACAUUAGUCAUGAUGAGUUCAAAGUUCAAACACUUACCAGGAAAAAUCCAAUUUGUAGGUUGCUCUGCUUGUUUAGUUAGACAUGAGUUUAUCCUUUUCUUCAUUUGAUUCUUAAUUUGAAAAGUCCAUUACUAUAUUUAUGCCUUCGUUCGUAAAUGAAUUUU